This 88-nucleotide transfer RNA is filed under the name Ruminococcus sp. CAG:379. RNAcentral describes it as "transfer RNA-Ser(GGA)". It matches the Rfam family "tRNA". From Rfam's summary of the family: Transfer RNA (tRNA) molecules are approximately 80 nucleotides in length. Their secondary structure includes four short double-helical elements and three loops (D, anti-codon, and T loops). The record is from RNAcentral. Lineage: Bacteria; Bacillati; Bacillota; Clostridia; Eubacteriales; Oscillospiraceae.
GGAAAGAUGGCUGAGCUGGUCUAAGGCGCACGACUGGAAAUCGUGUGUACGUUAAUAGCGUACCGAGGGUUCGAAUCCCUCUCUUUCC